RNAcentral lists this long non-coding RNA (449 nucleotides) under Oryza brachyantha (malo sina). RNAcentral describes it as "long non-coding RNA (OBRA_LNC002782)". Lineage: Eukaryota; Viridiplantae; Streptophyta; Magnoliopsida; Poales; Poaceae. The record is from RNAcentral.
GCCGCCGCACCGUCGACCCGUCGCCGCCGUCGCCCGCCACCCCAAUGCCGCCUCCGCUGGAGCCAACCGAGAGAGACAUGUAUCUUAUCCGUGGCUUUGCACUAUGUGACAUCUCAUUUUUUUUAAGGACAGUGGCUUGCAUAUUGAAUGCGCGGAGCAGGCGUGCCGAGAAAAGGUGGAAUCUUUUAUAUUAAAUUAGCUGGCUUUUGAUGUACAGUAUGUAUUCUGACACAGGUAGUGGCAACAAUCGAUGAGAGCCCAUCCGCGGAUCUGCGUCGACUGACCGGCAAGCCACGGCGGCCAUGGGCGGCGACGUGAUGUACGACCGGUGCCUGGUCGCGCUCUACCUGCUCAGCCCGCUCACCGUGUUGGCGCUCCAGUUCGUGUCGGCGCCGUACGGGAAGCUCUCCCGGCCGGGGUGGGGCCCCGCGCUGCCGGCGCCGCUUNNN